AUUGAACGCUGGCGGCAGGCCUAACACAUGCAAGUCGAGCGGAUGAAGGGAGCUUGCUCCUGGAUUCAGCGGCGGACGGGUGAGUAAUGCCUAGGAAUCUGCCUGGUAGUGGGGGAUAACGUCCGGAAACGGGCGCUAAUACCGCAUACGUCCUGAGGGAGAAAGUGGGGGAUCUUCGGACCUCACGCUAUCAGAUGAGCCUAGGUCGGAUUAGCUAGUUGGUGGGGUAAAGGCCUACCAAGGCGACGAUCCGUAACUGGUCUGAGAGGAUGAUCAGUCACACUGGAACUGAGACACGGUCCAGACUCCUACGGGAGGCAGCAGUGGGGAAUAUUGGACAAUGGGCGAAAGCCUGAUCCAGCCAUGCCGCGUGUGUGAAGAAGGUCUUCGGAUUGUAAAGCACUUUAAGUUGGGAGGAAGGGCAGUAAGUUAAUAACUGGCUGUUUUGACGUUACCAAAAGAAUAAGCACCGGCUAACUUCGUG
This 484-nucleotide ribosomal RNA is filed under the name uncultured bacterium. Its description in RNAcentral is "partial 16S ribosomal RNA". It matches the Rfam family "Bacterial small subunit ribosomal RNA", at positions 30 to 507 of the family's 1533-position model. The record is from RNAcentral.